This 472-nucleotide ribosomal RNA is filed under the name Clostridium sp. GCA3. RNAcentral describes it as "bacterial SSU rRNA". It matches the Rfam family "Bacterial small subunit ribosomal RNA", at positions 29 to 526 of the family's 1533-position model. Lineage: Bacteria; Bacillati; Bacillota; Clostridia; Eubacteriales; Clostridiaceae. The record is from RNAcentral.
UCGCGAACGCUGGCGGCGUGCCUACACAUGCAAGUCGAGCGAUUUACUUCGGUAAAGAGCGGCGGACGGGUGAGUAACGCGUGGGUAACCUGCCUCAUACACAUGGAUAACAUACCGAAAGGUAUGCUAAUACAGGAUAAUAUAAGAGAUUCACAUGGAUUUUUUAUCAAAGCUCCGGCGGUAUGAGAUGGACCCGCGUCUGAUUAGCUAGUUGGUAAGGUAAUGGCUUACCAAGGCGACGAUCAGUAGCCGACCUGAGAGGGUGAUCGGCCACAUUGGAACUGAGACACGGUCCAAACUCCUACGGGAGGCAGCAGUGGGGAAUAUUGCACAAUGGGCGAAAGCCUGAUGCAGCAACGCCGCGUGAGUGAUGAAGGCCUUCGGGUCGUAAAACUCUGUCCUCAAGGAAGAUAAUGACGGUACUUGAGGAGGAAGCCCCGGCUAACUACGUGCCAGCCCGCCGCGGUACGCC